UGGGGAAUAUUGCACAAUGGGCGCAACCCUGAUGCAGCGACGCCGCGUGGGUGAAGAAGCGCCUCGGCGCGUAAAGCCCUGUCAGCAGGGAAGAAAAUGACGGUACCUGAAGAAGAAGCCCCGGCUAACUACGUGCC
This 137-nucleotide ribosomal RNA is filed under the name uncultured bacterium. Its description in RNAcentral is "partial 16S ribosomal RNA". It matches the Rfam family "Bacterial small subunit ribosomal RNA", at positions 355 to 509 of the family's 1533-position model. The record is from RNAcentral.